GGCAGUAUUAAAAGCAGCUCCAGGGUUAAGCCCUGGCAUUUCACCUUUAACUUACCGAACCGCCUACAUGCCCUUUACGCCCAAUAAUUCCGAACAACGCUUGCCCCCUCCGUAUUACCGCGGCUGCUGGCACGGAGUUUGCCGGGACUUCUUCUGUAGGUACCGUCAUUAUCUUCCCUACUGAAAGAGUUUUACAACCCUAAGGCCUUCCUCACUCACGCGGCAUAGCUGGAUCAGGCUUGCGCCCAUUGUCCAAUAUUCCCCACUGCUGCCUCCCGUAGGAGUCUGGACCGUAUCUCAGUUCCAGUGUGGCUGAUCAUCCUCUCAGACCAGCUAUAGAUCAUCGCCUUGGUAGGCCUUUACCCUACCAACUAGCUAAUCUAACAUAGGCUCAUCUAAUAGCGAUAAAUCUUUCCCCCGCAGGGAUUAUACAGUAUUACCCACCAUUUCUAGUGGCUAUCCCAUACUACUAGGUAGAUUCCUAUGCAUUACUCACCCGUCUGCCACUAAUUAUUCUUCAUAGCAAGCUAUAAAGAAUAAUCCGUU
This 546-nucleotide ribosomal RNA is filed under the name Ehrlichia sp. 'Frankonia 1'. RNAcentral's name for it is "partial 16S ribosomal RNA". Lineage: Bacteria; Pseudomonadati; Pseudomonadota; Alphaproteobacteria; Rickettsiales; Anaplasmataceae. The record is from RNAcentral.